RNAcentral lists this ribosomal RNA (497 nucleotides) under uncultured bacterium. Its description in RNAcentral is "partial 16S ribosomal RNA". It matches the Rfam family "Bacterial small subunit ribosomal RNA", at positions 28 to 507 of the family's 1533-position model. The record is from RNAcentral.
GAUGAACGCUGGCGGCGUGCCUAAUACAUGCAAGUCGAGCGAACAGACGAGGAGCUUGCUCCUCUGACGUUAGCGGCGGACGGGUGAGUAACACGUGGAUAACCUACCUAUAAGACAGGGAUAACUUCGGGAAACCGGAGCUAAUACCGGAUAAUAUAUUGAACCGCAUGGUUCAAUAGUGAAAGACGGUUUUGCUGUCACUUAUAGAUGGAUCCGCGCCGCAUUAGCUAGUUGGUAAGGUAACGGCUUACCAAGGCAACGAUGCGUAGCCGACCUGAGAGGGUGAUCGGCCACACUGGAACUGAGACACGGUCCAGACUCCUACGGGAGGCAGCAGUAGGGAAUCUUCCGCAAUAGGCGAAAGCCUGACGGAGCAACGCCGCGUGAGUGAUGAAGGUCUUCGGAUCGUAAAACUCUGUUAUUAGGGAAGAACAAAUGUGUAAGUAACUAUGCACGUCUUGACGGUACCUAAUCAGAAAGCCACGGCUAACUACGUG